AAAGGAAUAGACGGGGGCCCGCACAAGCAGCGGAGCGUGUGGUUUAAUUCGACGCAACGCGAAGAACCUUACCAGGACUUGACAUCGCCUGGAAUAGUGCGGAAACGUGCUAGUCCUUCGGGACCAGGUGACAGAUGCUGCAUGGCUGUCGUCAGCUCGUGCCGUGAGGUGUUGGGUUAAGUCCCGCAACGAGCGCAACCCUCGUCGCUAGUUGAAUGUUCUAGCGAGACUGCCGGGAUAAACUCGGAGGAAGGUGGGGAUGACGUCAAGUCAUCACGGCUCUUACGUCCUGGGCUACACACACGCUACAAUGGGUGGUACAAAGGGUCGCGAUAGCGCGAGCUGGAGCCAAUCCCAAAAAGCCAUCCUCAGUUCAGAUCGGAGGCUGCAACUCGCCUCCGUGAAGGCGGAGUUGCUAGUAACCGCCGGUCAGCACACGGCGGUGAAUACGUUCCCGGGCCUUGUACACACCGCCCGU
Molecule: ribosomal RNA, 478 nt
Filed under: uncultured bacterium
Lineage: Bacteria
Description: bacterial SSU rRNA
Rfam family: Bacterial small subunit ribosomal RNA
Source: RNAcentral